This 468-nucleotide ribosomal RNA is filed under the name uncultured bacterium. RNAcentral's name for it is "partial 16S ribosomal RNA". It matches the Rfam family "Bacterial small subunit ribosomal RNA", at positions 28 to 507 of the family's 1533-position model. The record is from RNAcentral.
GACGAACGCUGGCGGCGUGCUUAACACAUGCAAGUCGAACGGAAAGGCCCUGCUUUUGUGGGGUUCUCGAGUGGCGAACGGGUGAGUAACACGUGAGUAACCUGCCCUUGACUUUGGGAUAACUUCAGGAAACUGGGGCUAAUACCGGAUAGGAGCUCCUGCUGCAUGGUGGGGGUUGGAAAGUUUCGGCGGUUGGGGCUGGACUCGCGGCUUAUCAGCUUGUUAGUGAGGUAGUGGCUUACCAAGGCUUUGACGGGUAGCCGGCCUGAGAGGGUGACCGGCCACAAUGCGACUGAGAUACGGCCCAGACUCCUACGGGAGGCAGAAGUGGGGAAUAUUGCGCAAUGGGCGGAAGCCUGAUGCAGCAACGCCGCGUGCGGGAUGACGGCCUUCGGGUUGUAAACCGCUUUCGCCUGUGACGAAGCGUGAGUGACGGUAAUGGGUAAAGAAGCACCGGCUAACUACGUG